This 501-nucleotide ribosomal RNA is filed under the name Limenitis doerriesi. RNAcentral describes it as "partial 16S ribosomal RNA". The record is from RNAcentral. Lineage: Eukaryota; Metazoa; Arthropoda; Insecta; Lepidoptera; Nymphalidae.
AAUUUAAAGUCUAAUCUGCCCACUGAUGAUAUAUUAAGGGGCUGCGGUAUAUUGACUGUACAAAGGUAGCAUAAUCAUUACUCUUUUAAUUGAAGACUUGUAUGAAAGAUUUGAUGAAAUAUAAACUGUCUCUAAUUUAAAUAUAAAAUUUAAUUUUUUAGUUAAAAAGCUAAAAUAAAUUUAAAAGACGAGAAGACCCUAUAGAGUUUUAUAUUAAAAUUAUUUAAGAUUAUAUAUAUAAAUAAAUAUUAAAAUUAAAAUUAAUAUUUUAUUGGGGUGAUAAAAAAAUUAAUAUAACUUUUUUUAAAAAUAAAACAUAAAUAAGUGAUUAAUUGAUCCAUUUUUAUGAUUAAAAGAAAAAAUUACCUUAGGGAUAACAGCGUAAUAUUUUUUUUUAGUACAAAUAAGAAAAAAAGUUUGCGACCUCGAUGUUGGAUUAAGAUAAAAUUUAAAUGCAAAAGUUUAAAAUUUUGAUCUGUUCGAUCAUUAAAAUCUUACAUG